UUCCCUCUGCCGACUUCGUGAGGCGCUGGACGAUUGAAUCCCGAGUAAGCGAGAACCAGGGAGCCAACAACGAUACCGUGGUGAGCUAGGCCCGGAACCAUUCACCGGGAAGCCUGAAGCGGUACUUAGGCUCCCACCUAGCAGCUAUGCUAGGGGUUCAAGUCCUUCUGCCCACGUCCUCGGCGGUACGGAA
Molecule: non-coding RNA, 193 nt
Organism: Sorangium cellulosum So0157-2
Lineage: Bacteria; Pseudomonadati; Myxococcota; Polyangiales; Polyangiaceae
Source: Rfam